Fukomys damarensis (Damara mole-rat) is the source of this 419-nucleotide long non-coding RNA. RefSeq lists it as uncharacterized. The transcript has 3 exons. NCBI's taxonomy places the organism in Eukaryota, Metazoa, Chordata, Mammalia, Rodentia, Bathyergidae. The record is from RefSeq and is a predicted model, not a curated record.
UCACAGCAACUGGGAAGGUAGGGCUCAUGAGGUGGGGUGUCCAGGUCCCCCUGAGCCCACCUGGCAAGGUCUGGGGCAUUUGUGCUCCUGGCCUCCAACGAGAAAAGGCCACCCACUGUGCCCAACAUCCAACAAUGCAGAGUGGCAUCCCAGGACAAAGAAACUCACUGGCUCCAGGUGUCUGCAGGGACGAGAGCAGCACAUCCUGAUGGCUCCCACCUCCAGUCCUGGACAACCGGAGCCUACUCCCGGCCCUGGAGGGCACUGUGGACUGGACACUGAGCUCAGUCUUGGGCAAAGGAUGACCUGUAUGGCCUGGGCCUGGGAGAUGCUCCUGAAGCUCUGAACAUCACAGAACCUGUAGACCACAGCCAACAUGACAGGCACGGGGAGCAGGGCCAGCAGCACCACCAGCGCCG